GAUGAACGCUAGCGGGAGGCCUAACACAUGCAAGCCGAGCGGUAUUUGUUCUUCGGAACAGAGAGAGCGGCGCACGGGUGCGGAACACGUGUGCAACCUGCCUUUAUCUGGGGGAUAGCCUUUCGAAAGGAAGAUUAAUACCCCAUAAUAUAUUGAGUGGCAUCAUUUGAUAUUGAAAACUCCGGUGGAUAGAGAUGGGCACGCGCAAGAUUAGACAGUUGGUGAGGUAACGGCUCACCAAGUCAAUGAUCUUUAGGGGGCCUGAGAGGGUGAUCCCCCACACUGGUACUGAGACACGGACCAGACUCCUACGGGAGGCAGCAGUGAGGAAUAUUGGACAAGGGGUUAGCGCCUGAUCCAGCCAUCCCGCGUGAAGGACGACGGCCCUAUGGGUUGUAAACUUCUUUUGUAUAGGGAUAAACCUACUCUCGUGAGAGUAGCUGAAGGUACUAUACGAAUAAGCACCGGCUAACUCCGU
This 478-nucleotide ribosomal RNA is filed under the name uncultured bacterium. RNAcentral describes it as "partial 16S ribosomal RNA". It matches the Rfam family "Bacterial small subunit ribosomal RNA", at positions 28 to 506 of the family's 1533-position model. The record is from RNAcentral.